Molecule: small nuclear RNA, 109 nt
Organism: Cavia aperea (Brazilian guinea pig)
Lineage: Eukaryota; Metazoa; Chordata; Mammalia; Rodentia; Caviidae
Source: Ensembl
UUGUUCUCUCUUCAGCAACAGAUAUACUAAAGCUGGAACAACAUAGACAACAAUAGCAUGGCUCCUAAGCAAGGAUGAAAUAUAAAUUUGUGAAGUGCUCCGUGUUUUU